UACAGAGGGUGCAAGCGUUAAUCGGAUUUACUGGGCGUAAAGGGCGCGUAGGCGGCCUUCUAAGUCGAACGUGAAAUCCCCGGGCUCAACCCGGGAACUGCGUCCGAUACUGGAAGGCUUGAAUCCGGGAGAGGGAUGUGGAAUUCCAGGUGUAGCGGUGAAAUGCGUAGAUAUCUGGAGGAACACCGGUGGCGAAGGCGACAUCCUGGACCGGUAUUGACGCUGAGGCGCGAAAGCCAGGGGAGCAAACGGG
RNAcentral lists this ribosomal RNA (253 nucleotides) under uncultured bacterium. Its description in RNAcentral is "partial 16S ribosomal RNA". It matches the Rfam family "Bacterial small subunit ribosomal RNA", at positions 524 to 776 of the family's 1533-position model. The record is from RNAcentral.